RNAcentral lists this long non-coding RNA (260 nucleotides) under Homo sapiens (human). Its description in RNAcentral is "HSALNT0126088". The record is from RNAcentral. Lineage: Eukaryota; Metazoa; Chordata; Mammalia; Primates; Hominidae.
CUCCAGAAACGCCCAUGUGUGGAGGAAAUGAAAUUAAGGCUUUUAAUAGAGCCAGCCAUCCUUCUCCUCGGGGAUGAGCAGCGUGAUGACAUCUCCCUGUGCAAAGCUGAGUAAGGUCUUGUUGGAGCCCGCAGUGUGCGGGAAGAUGGUCUUCACUUUCUGCUUCUUCAUCAUGUUCAGUCCCGUUGCAACCGAAACUGAUCGCUGUAAACUGGGAUCUUCGGAAGUACCUGUUGGAGGGAGUGUAGCAGUAAUGGCUU